UUCUGAGUUCUCCAUUCUAUUUCAUUUUAUAUGUCUACCUUUAUGUCAGUACCACACUGUUUUGAUUAUUGUAAUUUUGUAAUUAAGUCAUUUAUUCUAACAGACUUUUUUAUUGUGUGUGGAAUCCUUAGCGUUUUCCAAACAUAAGAUUAUAUUACUUGCAAAAAGAAAUGUUUACUUUUUUCUUUACAGUUUGAAUACCUUUGAUUUCUUUUUCUUGCCUAAUUGCUCUGGCUAGAACUUCCAGUUCCAUGUUGAAUUGAAGUGAUGAAAAUGGGCAUCCUUCCCUUGUUCUUGAUAUUAGAGGGGAAGAUUUUAAUCUUUCACCAUUGAGUAUGAUGUUCACUGGGGUUUUUCACAUGUGGCUUUUAUUGUGUUGAGGUGAUUUCCUUCUACUACUAGUUUGUUGAGUGUUUAUCAUGAAAGGGUGUUGAGUUUUGUCAAAUGCUCUUUCACCAUCAAUUAAGAUGGUUAUGUUUUUUUCCCUUUAUUCUGUAAAUGUGGUAUAUUACAUUGAUUGAUUUUUAUAUGUUGAACCAUCUUGGCAUUCUAGGAAUAAAUCCCACUUGGUCAUGGUGUAUAAUCUUUUUACUAUGCUGAAUUCAGUUUGCUUGUAUUUUGUUGAGGAUUUUUGCAUCAAUGUUCAUAAGAAAUAUUGAUCUAUAAUUUUCUUUUCUGUAGUGUCUUUGUCUGGCUUCCGUAUCAGGAUAAUGCUGAUCUUGUAUAAAUAAGUUAGUAAAUGUUUCCUCUUCUUCAGUUAUUUAGAAAAGUUUGAGAAGGAUUGGUAUUUGUUCUUUAAAUGUUUGGUAGAACUCACCAGUGAAGCAAUCAGGCCCAGGACUUUUCACAGCUGCAUGUUUUAACCUUUAAAUUAAAGUGAAAAAAUCCUGCAAAGUUUCUUUAUAUGGUAUGGUAGUCACUUGACAUGGUCACUAGUAUUCCAAAUCUCCUCCCUCUGGGUCCAUGGGCACUUCUUUGCCCAUUGUGACCACGUGACUUGUUUUUCCAGAUGAAAUGUGAGUGGAGGGGAUAUGUGUCACCUUUAAGGGGAAGUCUUAAGACCCAAUGCAGAAUUCUACAAUCUCCAUUCUGCCUACCAUGGUGACCUGCAAAGUUCCAGAUUUCUGAUCUCUUUCAAUCUGCAUUCCUGAAUAAGGACAUGACACGGAGCAGUGACCCUGCUGACCUGUGAUGAACAUGUACCCACGAGUGAGAAAUAAACCCUUGUUGUUUUAAGCCAUUCUGUUUUGGGGAUGUUUGUUACUACAACAUAACCAAACUAAAAUACCUCACCUAUGGAUAAUGAGUGGUAACAUGUCAGGCAAAUUCCUCUUCUAUACCGGGUGCAGUCAUCUUUAGCUUGUCAGUUAUUGUCACAACUUGUUGGGAAGAUCAUCAGCUUAGCCACAUAGAGUUGCCUAAAUAUUUGAGCAGAAACCCCAGCCCUUCUGCAGGGUCUCACGUGAACAUCCUACCAGAUGUGGGGAUAUCAAGGUUGUAGAUGAAGUACCUGGCAAGCAUGUCAGAAUUCUGAGCUGCCACUGGAUGAGAAACUUCCAUGUCAGAGAAUCCUUUCUCCUUCCUACAUGGAGAGGUGG
This 1598-nucleotide long non-coding RNA is filed under the name Homo sapiens (human). RNAcentral's name for it is "HSALNT0296957". The record is from RNAcentral. Lineage: Eukaryota; Metazoa; Chordata; Mammalia; Primates; Hominidae.